Molecule: ribosomal RNA, 253 nt
Filed under: uncultured bacterium
Lineage: Bacteria
Description: partial 16S ribosomal RNA
Rfam family: Bacterial small subunit ribosomal RNA
Source: RNAcentral
UACGUAGGGUGCAAGCGUUAAUCGGAAUUACUGGGCGUAAAGCGUGCGCAGGCGGUUUUGUAAGACUGUCGUGAAAUCCCCGGGCCCAACCUGGGAAUGGCGAUGGUGACUGCAAGGCUAGAGUUUGGCAGAGGGGGGUAGAAUUCCACGUGUAGCAGUGAAAUGCGUAGAUAUGUGGAGGAACACCGAUGGCGAAGGCAGCCCCCUGGGUCAAAACUGACGCUCAUGCACGAAAGCGUGGGGAGCAAACAGG